ACAAGUGCUAGUUGAAUAAGCUGGCACCUUGACGGUACCUAACCAGAAAGCCACGGCUAACUACGUGCCAGCAGCCGCGGUAAUACGUAGGUGGCAAGCGUUAUCCGGAAUUAUUGGGCGUAAAGCGCGCGCAGGUGGUUUCUUAAGUCUGAUGUGAAAGCCCACGGCUCAACCGUGGAGGGUCAUUGGAAACUGGGAGACUUGAGUGCAGAAGAGGAAAGUGGAAUUCCAUGUGUAGCGGUGAAAUGCGUAGAGAUAUGGAGGAACACCAGUGGCGAAGGCGACUUUCUGGUCUGUAACUGACACUGAGGCGCGAAAGCGUGGGGAGCAAACAGGAUUAGAUACCCUGGUAG
Molecule: ribosomal RNA, 353 nt
Filed under: Bacillus cereus
Lineage: Bacteria; Bacillati; Bacillota; Bacilli; Caryophanales; Bacillaceae
Description: bacterial SSU rRNA
Rfam family: Bacterial small subunit ribosomal RNA
Source: RNAcentral